GUUCCUGGUUUUGGAUGUGGAACUCAGGCAUUGCAGUGGAGGACAGACACUGAAGUCAGGGGCUGGUGCACUUGGACUCAGAGGUUUUUUAGAAGACUCCUGUAGAUAAGCAGGUUUUUCUGUUGAGGAGGACUUCAUAUUACACAUUAUAGAGGAAAUGGGCACAAAGGUGUUCAUUUUCAACAACAAAUCAAAGGAAGGGCACACCCUCCCCAAGAGUAUACCUUAUUUAAUCAGAGGAUCCUGUUUGGGAACCCCUUCCUGCAGAUCCUGAUGCCUUCCAGCACACCGUUACAGCGCAGCUGGUGCAUCACCAGAGGGUUCUCCAUGGCCCCAGGAGUCUUGGUCUCAUUGGGGAUGAUGCAGCGCACAAAGUGAGGAGGGUGGAUCUCUGUGAGGAACCAAACCUGAGUGCUGCUUGUCUUCUCAUUGUGAAAUGAGCAGGACACAGAGAAAUAAAGAUAAGGUUUGUCUUGGAGGAAUGGACUCCACCCAUCCUGUCAGUCGGACCUCCUCAAGUCCACUUCUUUUCUUUCUUCUGAAAGCGUCCUCCUCCUCCUCCUCUUGCCGCCUUUGAAAAGAAUGUGUAUUUCAAGAGACAGACUGGCCUCCUCUUCUUACAUGAAGAGGAUCCUGUUUGGGAAUCCCUUCCUGCAGAUCCUGAUGCCUUCCAGCACACCGUUACAGCGCAGCUGGUGCAUCACCAGAGGGUUCUCCAUGGCCCCAGGAGUCUUGGUCUCAUUGGGGAUGAUGCAGCGCACAAAGUGAGGCUGUCUGAAUCCCCGGUGGAGAUCUUCCUCUGAUCUGUGCCCCCCUCCUGGCUUUUGUCUUUCCUCGUCGUACGGGAACAUAGCUGUAACCAGACUCCACCAAGGACAAGACCACGCAAGAUCAGGGUCAGCUUCAAGCCCAAGCCUUGUGUCAGGCUGACAUGUCCCCUUCACUUGGCUUCCUCUGAUGGUGCCAGAGCUGAGGCUUCAAAUCUUUCCUCAUGCUGCUCAAGAAGAAUGAUGUACGGUCACUUUGAGGACAAAAAGGAUUACAGCACAGGAGUCUCCUGAGGUCUUAGAUGGUCAUCUGUAAGUGUUCACUCCUCAUCGAGUCCUUUCUGUGAUGAAGAGUGACAGGAGAGUAGACAGACAGACAGAUUAGUGACUGAGGACAAACAUCUGUAACACAAGCUGCAGUCUGGUGAGGUCAAGAUGCUAACCCGAGCUACUCAUUAAAAAUUCUUCAGAGUAACAUUUAUUCCAUGUCUCAUGACGUUGCUCCACCACCCCAUCAUCCGUCCUGAAAGUCUCAUACUAAAGGCAGAGAACUUGAAAAUUGUCUAACCUAUUUGACUGCUCCACUAAAACUCAAAAUACAGAAUAAAAGUGAUCCAUGCAAACCUG
Molecule: long non-coding RNA, 1394 nt
Organism: Notolabrus celidotus (New Zealand spotty)
Lineage: Eukaryota; Metazoa; Chordata; Actinopteri; Labriformes; Labridae
Exons: 11
Source: RefSeq, a predicted model, not a curated record